GGGAUAGACGAUGAGGCCACGUUUCUCUUCUAUAGACAUGACUUUAAAUUUUUGUAUCCAAAUUAAUUGUCGUGACUCCCUGUUGGCACUGGUGUUGCGAGUUGUCACCUGUGUCUGUGCCGCUGGGAAGCUCCUGUGACCGCAAACCGUGGGCAGUGUUGGCAACAGGACGUCCUGCCACCAGCGUGUUCACUGGGAUUCACCCUGUUACCCCCAGAAUACUCCAUGCCCGGCCUGGGAAUGUUUCUCUUCACGCCCAAGCCAGCUGUUAAAUUCAGGAAAGUGGCUUUCUUGUUUUCUCCUAACGACCCCUUGCCUGUGCGUUCAGGUCAUUACCAAGUGCCGGGCCUCCUCUCUAGGGCUCAGGAUCGAUCGUCUGAGGCCUCCUUCCUGCGGCAGCGCCCCCGACCCCACAACAUAGCCCCGUGCUCCUGUCCUUUGGCUUGGUAUGUAUGCUUUCCCUGGGUAAAUGGCCCUUCUGACAAUUCAAGUGACUGUUGCGUUUACUAUAACCUUGAAAACAAAAAUUGUAAGAAAAAGAUUCCAAUGAUUGUGCUGUGGAUUUUAUUACCAAGAUGUUUACACCUCCCUUUUCCCUGUCAUUUUGAGAAACUGUCGACUCUUCUCCCUUAAUGGCUUGUAGUCUUUCCUGUGUCAUAAUAAAGCUUCAUUUUCUUCUGAACACUGGCCGGCUCUCCUCUUACUACUGACAGCAGCUGAGAGGGCGCAGCGGAGGGGAGGGGGCGCUGCACGGCCGCCAGGGCUGGAGCUGCCAGGGCAGGGCUCGGCGCCACAGCAGCCCUGCUGAGCUCAGCGGCCGGAGCUCGUACCUGGUUUGGGCCAGUCCAGUGCCGGCCCUGGGUGUCGGGACGUCCGCGCAUCCUGCAUUCUCCUCCUCUUCCCUGCUCUUGGCAUCCGGGAGUCAGGACAACCAUGCAUUCUCAGUGUGUCACCGUCACAGUCCCCGGAGGAGCUUUUUAAAUGCAGGAAUUGUUGCCAGCGUCUGAUGACGAGACCCAGGGUGCGGUAUGACAAUACGCAUUUGUAGUAAGCUCCCCAAACGAGGAAAUAUGAACCCGUAAGGAGAAAAUGUGCAAUUAGUCCUGCCCUUGAUCCUGUAAUUGGUCACACCGCUGUACUUGGCGUUUGUGACAUCCUCCCGCCUCCCUCCACACUUCCUUGUCCUCAGAACCUCCCUUGACUGGUUUUUACCUGGUUGACCCAAAGCUUCAUUGCCGAGCUGUCCCAUUUUUAGAAGCUUUUGUUGCAAGUUCCUUUACUUACCUUACAUGGAAGCACCAAGAGACGCCAGCGACCUCUGGGUCCCAGGCUUAGUCCUCUGUCCCCACGGAGUAGCAAUCAGCUCAGGUCACCCAGAACCAGUGUUGUGUCCCUCAGGGGAAGACCAUCAAGCCAACAAAGCCCAGAUUUUCCAGGCCUGGAAUAAAAAGAUUCUGUGAUUGGGUUGUUAAGUAUAAUACUGGGAGGUGCCAACCCCACCCCCACAGCUGGCUCCUCAGACCCAUACAUCCUGCCUAGGGGAGGGGGGAGUCUGCACCAGAUAAUGGUUUCUGGCUAAAGGCAUACAAGUCAUCCUGGAAGACAGAACCACAUCACCAUAGCUGAGUCCUCAGUAUGCCCAGCUGCGUCCCGGGGGGGGGGGGGGGUGAUGCAGUGUGAACAGUGCCUCGGACACAAGCCUGUUGCUCAUGAACGUCCGUUGCCGUGAUUUGGGUUCUGUGAUCAACAGCUAUUUGCGGAAUGUGACCAUGGAUGGUGGUGGUGAUGGGCGGGGCAGGCGUGUCCGUCAUCGGAAUAUGAGUUUAUUCCAAGAAGACCAAUCUUCCAUGAUGCAAGAGGCCCAGCGUAGUCAACCUGCCGCCGGGAUGGCCGGCCGGUCCUCUUAGGAAACUCGCCAGCCGAGGGACUCGGGUGUUAGUGUUCGUAGUUCGCUGGUUAGGCACUCAGCGGUAGUUAGGUUGCUGAGCCUUGGGCAGGGCAGAUCUAAGACAUUGAACCUACUUCAGCCCCCACCCUGUCUUGAUGGCCCCUUGGUUCAUGGGUCUACCAAGCAAGCAUGGUGCCUGGGGAAGGAAGCUGACUGUAUCCACAGGCAUGCCGUUUUGUCUCCCUGAUCAUAAGAGCGUCCCCUGUAGGGGUUCUCCAGCAGGCACACAUGGAUACAGGUCUCUUCACAGUCUGUGCCCAUUUUGAGACAUCUGUCCCCAUCCAGACCUCGUCACUAAUCCUGGAAUCCUCUUCCAGAUGUUUGACCGUCCAAGCAAGCUGUUAGCUCAGCACAGAUCAACGUCGCCCCGUCCUGUCGGCCCUGUCUCGUUCCAGACAAGUGGGUAACCAGACAUACAGUUCAAAGCUCCACUCAGGGUUUUCCUCCAACACUGUCCGUAGGUGACCUCAGUCAUCUGGCCACAAAAAAGCACUCGAUGCCAUGCAGCAGGUGUCCGUUGAAAGUCCAAGCCACCUGUUCGUGCAGUUCACCUGCUCAGGCCUGUGCUCACUCUUCCACAUGCUGUUUCUGCUGCAUGAUCCGUGCCUGCCGCCCAGCCUUAAGGCCAAGCGGGUCAGACCAUUCGUUUUGCUGUGGGAUGCCCGGACUGCAUGGGCAGCUCAUGACCUGUGAGUACACGUUCAGCAUGCGAAGUCUGAGAGACAAGCAGGAGCUGUUUCUAGAAAGAGUACGUAUCUGUGGAAGACAUAGAUUGGAGUUGCUCCGAAAUCGUGGAGAUCUGUGCUGUUCCUCGCCUGCUGGCCCCUGAAGCAUCCUUAUCUGCCCUGGACAGUUUGAGUAUCACUGGAUCUUCUUGAUCAUACGAUUUGAGUGUAGUACGGCGUGUAUGACAGCCUGAAAUUAGGUCCUCCUCGCAGCUGGGAGCCGUGUGAUGCCUCUGGAGGAGGGUCGGAUUGACACGCGCAGCUGUGCGUGCUACUCGCGAACCCAGCAACACCUGUCCGGCAUUGUGGCUCUUUUUACAUAGUAGAUGGUGCGACUUGCAGCCAUUUGUCCUUCACCUUGAACAGGUUAUCCUGACAGGCUUAAGACCCCUGAGCCCCCAGACACUUCAUGGAGUUAGGGGCCUGAGUUUCAGGGAGUUUUUUUCUCAUGCUUUGGCUCACUUGUCUCAUUAAAGCCUUGAUAGAAUUUACUGCUCUGUGCUUCUCAGAGCCAGUCAGCAUAAUGCCAGCAGUACAGGGACCAGAGCGAUGAGUGAUGGAACAUCAAGGCAGUCAGUGCGCACACAGACUUCCUAUAGCAGAGUUACGUAGCCCCGAGUCCGUACCGGGAAGGUAUGCUGUGGGCCCUGUCAAAUAGAAGCAAAGUGCCUUGGUGGGCCUUUCAAAUUGGUAUGGGAAUAAAAAUGCUCUAGUCAGGUCACCGGCUGCAUGCUUCAUGCCAGGAGCCAUGUUGACUUGCUCCAGUAACAGCGCUGCCUCUGACAGCAGCUGUGAUCGGACAGCCCCUGAUCAGGUUUCUAGAAGUUGGCCGUCAUUCCCGCGAUCUGCACAUGGUGUACAGCUGAACUACGAGGGCCUGUGAUACGUAAUAUCACUGCUGUGCCUUUGGGGUGUUACUCUUUGAAAUCCCCCCAGGAGGGGUGCCUGGGUGGCUCGGUUGGGCGUCUGCCUUCGGCUCAGGUCAUGAUCCUGGGGCCCUGGGAUCGAGUUCCGCAUUGGGCUCCCUGCUCAGCGGGGAGCCGGCUUCUCUCUCUCCCUCUGCCCUUCCUCCCCGCUCGUGCUCUUGUGCUCGCUCGCUCUCUCAAAUAAUAAAAUCGUAAAAGAAAGAAGAGAGAUAAGAGAGAAAAAGGAAAGAAAAGAGGGAGGAAGGAAAGGGGAGAGAGAAAAGAAAAAAGAAGGAAAGAGAAAGAAGAAAGGAAAGAAAAAGAAAAAAAAAAUUCUACAUAGUCCUUCCAACCACAUCAGCCCUCACCUAGGGGAUAAACAGUCAACGUAGGGAUCCUGCCAAGUGCCAGGUACGCCCACUAUACACUUAGGAACUGGGGAAUAACUACAGAAUGGAUCAAACAUACUUCCAUUAAAAAAAAAAAAAACCAGGGGCGCCUGGGUGGCACAGCGGUUAAGCGUCUGCCUUCGGCUCAGGGCGUGAUCCCGGCGUUACGGGAUC
This 4141-nucleotide long non-coding RNA is filed under the name Ailuropoda melanoleuca (giant panda). Its description in RNAcentral is "lncRNA (ENSAMEG00000028794.1)". Lineage: Eukaryota; Metazoa; Chordata; Mammalia; Carnivora; Ursidae. The record is from RNAcentral.